RNAcentral lists this transfer-messenger RNA (391 nucleotides) under Patescibacteria group. Its description in RNAcentral is "HO2-37-13b sp001789395 X1 Standard tmRNA". It matches the Rfam family "transfer-messenger RNA". From Rfam's summary of the family: Bacterial tmRNA, also known as 10Sa RNA or SsrA, is named for its dual tRNA and mRNA-like properties. Its role is to liberate the mRNA from a stalled ribosome. The record is from RNAcentral. RNAcentral also lists the same sequence under 1 other name.
GGGGAUGAACGGUGUCGACGGGAAAGCACUUUUACAAGAGGUCAGGGCGGAUCUAUCCGUAACUAGAAAACAAAUAGAUGCUAAUGACGAAUUAGAAUCUAUCGAAGCCUUUUAUGGUCGCCAAGCAUAUUCAUAUGCUUACGCUGCCUGACAGAGGCCUUCGACUCUUUUUAAAGUUUUUCUCGGUUUAACUUAAAAAGGGAUAACCAAUCGAGAGAGGGUUUUUAGAUAUUCCUGAUUGAUUUAAAGAUCCUUAAUUUUUAAUCGGCUUCCCGCUAAGUUUUGUUUAUUUUUUAAGCGGGAAAGAGCUAAAAAUAAUCUAUCCCUGACUACACUUUUGUAAUUUAAAGUAUUUUCUCGGACCCGGGUUCAACUCCCGGCAUCUCCACCA